GACAGAGGGUGCAAACGUUGUUCGGAAUUACUGGGCGUAAAGCGCGUGUAGGCGGCUAAGUAAGUCGGGCGUGAAAUCCCACGGCUCAACCGUGGAAGUGCACUCGAAACUGCAUAGCUAGAGUCCUGGAGAGGAAGGUGGAAUGCUUGGUGUAGAGGUGAAAUUCGUAGAUAUCAAGCGGAACACCGGUGGCGAAGGCGGCCUUCUGGACAGUGACGUGACGCUGAGACGCGAAAGCG
This 239-nucleotide ribosomal RNA is filed under the name uncultured bacterium. RNAcentral describes it as "partial 16S ribosomal RNA". It matches the Rfam family "Bacterial small subunit ribosomal RNA", at positions 524 to 761 of the family's 1533-position model. The record is from RNAcentral.